GACGUAGGGCGCGAGCGUUGUCCGGAUUUAUUGGGCGUAAAGAGCUCGUAGGCGGCUUGUUGCGUCGACUGUGAAAACCCGCGGCUUAACUGCGGGCUUGCAGUUGAUACGGGCAGGCUAGAGUUCGGUAGGGGAGACUGGAAUUCCUGGUGUAGCGGUGAAAUGCGUAGAUAAUCGGGAGGAAUACCUAUGGCGAAAGCAGGCUUCUGGGCCGUCACUGACGCUGAUCUGCGAAAGCUAGGGGAGCAAACAGG
Molecule: ribosomal RNA, 254 nt
Filed under: uncultured bacterium
Lineage: Bacteria
Description: partial 16S ribosomal RNA
Rfam family: Bacterial small subunit ribosomal RNA
Source: RNAcentral